UACGGAGGGGGCUAGCGUUGUUCGGAAUUACUGAGCGUAAAGCGCACGUAGGCGGCUUUGUAAGUUAGAGGUGAAAGCCCGGGGCUUAACCCUGGAAUUGCCUUUAAGACUGCAUCGCUAGAAUUGUGGAGAGGUGAGUGGAAUUCCGAGUGUAGAGGUGAAAUGCGCAGAUAUCGGGAGGAACACCGGUGGCGAAGGCGGUUCUCUGGGCCGACACUGACACUGAGAGACGAAAGCUAGGGGAGCGAAUGGG
This 253-nucleotide ribosomal RNA is filed under the name uncultured bacterium. RNAcentral's name for it is "partial 16S ribosomal RNA". It matches the Rfam family "Bacterial small subunit ribosomal RNA", at positions 524 to 776 of the family's 1533-position model. The record is from RNAcentral.